CCCCACCCUCGGCUGCUGCCCGAGCUUCCUCCACGCGCCGUGCAGUCUCCACGGCGACGCUGCGUUCCCGACUCGGAGCCCCCAGCUCCGCGCGAGCAGCUAGCCGGGCUGGCUCUCGGUGUGUGCCCUUCGGAUGGUCUGCUGAAGAGGGCCGCCAGCUGGACUUCUGUAGACAAGACAGAUACUGUAAAGACAGCAAAGAACAAACAGAAUGGCAGAUUGCUAAUGUUUGAUCCAAACGAAAAAGUGAUGAUUGAAUCAAACGAAGCAAUGUCAGAGUAAGAAGAUGUCUUUGAUUGUGCAGCUGAUCUCUCCCAUGCCUUUUAAGCAAUUAGAACUAGAUAAUGCAGCCAUUUGUCACCCAAUUAAAUUUGAAAGGCCAGAAAUGCAUGGAUUAGCACUUCAGCUUUUGCUGCAGUCAAAGCAAUUGUUACUAUAGAUAGAAGGACAGUUAAAAUGAAAAAUGAAUUUUGAUAAAAAUGCAGAAGUAUAGAUAAUAUUCACUUCUACUUUUUAAUGCUUAAACACCCUGUAUUCUGUAUUUUACUUGUAUCAUAAUUUUCAUUGCUCAUUCCUAUUUCCCUUUGAUACUUAUUUCUUUCACAAUAUUUCUUCAAGUGAAUAUGUACUUUAAAAUUAACAAAUUAUUUACUAUAACAUGAAUUGUUACUACUCAAUAAAGAAAGUAAUCACCUCAACUAGUUGAAGAAACUGGUGUUAAAAAAAUUGUAUUCUUUCCAGCCUUUUGGCUAAGAUCAAGUGUAAAAAAAUCACAGUACAAUAUCAAUUUAGUAGCUAAAUUUUAAAUAUCUUCUCUGUUCAAGGCUCUGAUUCUGAUAAUCUAUUAAAGCCCUUCCUGUAGUCAUCUCCUACUUUCUGAAAAAAAAAUCUCUAUUUAUUCUAUGAAAAAUUACAGCUUGAAAGUUGAUCAUAAACACAUUUGUGGGGAUUACUGACAAAUUAGUAGGUACUAUUCUGGUGGGAUUCUUCUAUUCAAAUUCAUACUGUUUUUGUUUAUUCUAAAUAUUGACUGGGAAAAAUUCUACCCUAGACAACAUAUAUUUAAAUUUUCAUAUUGUCAAAACGAAAAAUGUCCACCUUGGCUUUUGUUGUAAAUUAUAUGUAUAUUACAUAUUAUAUAAUACAUGUUUUUAUAUUAAAGAGAAAGUAAUGUAUAGCAAAUCAGUGACAGAGGACCUUAUUUAUUUUCAUUUAAAGUUACAAUCAACCAGAAAAAAAGAGCCUUGUUACAUAUGGUAAUCUACAUGUAAUUUUAUAUGUAUCCUAUUACAUGGUUGAAAACAUUUAAUAAAAUCUAAAAAAUGUU
Molecule: long non-coding RNA, 1327 nt
Filed under: Homo sapiens (human)
Lineage: Eukaryota; Metazoa; Chordata; Mammalia; Primates; Hominidae
Description: HSALNT0307107
Source: RNAcentral